Molecule: unclassified non-coding RNA, 451 nt
Filed under: Hevea brasiliensis (rubber tree)
Lineage: Eukaryota; Viridiplantae; Streptophyta; Magnoliopsida; Malpighiales; Euphorbiaceae
Source: RNAcentral
AUUAUGUCAACUACUAUGCAAGUUGUGAAGGAAGCUUUGAGGACACGAGGGUUGAAGGAUGACACAACAUGCAUAGUAGUUGACAUAAUACCUCCCGAUAACACUGUACAGCCUGCAACUCCGCCCAAGAAGUAUAACAAGCUUCGAUCUCUUUUUUUCAGAAGAAACUCGCAAAAAUCUGCUGGUAAACUAUCGAAAAAGCUGUCAGCUGUAGGCAUUGUAGAAGAACUGUUUGAAGAAGGCUCAGCAAUGCUUGCUGAAAGAUUGGGGAGUGAGGAUUCAAAUGGUCCAUCAAUGUCCGGUCUCUUCAUUUGUGCUGUUUGCCAGGUCGACCUUGCUGCAAGUGAAGGCAUAUCAGUACAUGCUGGUUCAAUUUUCUCGACAAGCUCAAAGCCUUGGCAAGGUCCAUUUCUAUGUGCUGACUGUUGCAAUAAGAAGGAUGCCAUGGAAG